CUACUGCCCUCCACCGUGGCUGGUACCUGGAUAAGCCCUAUCUCAGUUCCUGCAUUGCCUGGGGCUGGGGAUUUUUGCUUCUGUGUUUUGUUUUGGAGUUGGUGGGAUGGGGUUUUUUUUAUUGUUUUGGUUUUUUUUUGUUGUUGUUGCUGUUGUUUCUUUUUUUUUUUUUUUUUUAAAGAAAGAUGAAAAGCAUCCUAAAGAGAGCGAUACUGUAUCGCCCCGGCAUCGACGCCGUUCCUCGGAGGCGAGAGGCGCGCGGAGGAAACUCCAUGAGAAAUGAAGCUUGGGAAGGAGCUCAUGAAGCCAGCUAAUCUGUCGCACAGCUCCAGGAGAGGGUUACCUGCAGCAAAGGGGGCUUUAGGAGCCCUUUUCCUUCUUGGAAAGUGUGGUGAGAAGCUCUGCAUGAGCCAGCCCUGGGGAUAAAAGCCCUCAUCCCGCUGUGUUCCCACCUCCGUGUAGCUCCUCUGGAGAGAAAGUCCAUAUUCCAUGUCUGAGGAGUAGACACUCUUAGCUAUAAAAAGGCUUCUGACCUACAGGGAGGCAUCUAUUUGUUUUUCUGUUGUGUGGGAAGACGGGGACGUGAAGUAGUCAUUUGCCAGACAAAAUCAGCUCCAGAAUCCAAACCCUUCUACAAUCGGAGACCAGAAGCCAGAUGAGAAACUUAUUCAAGCAAGCGUUCUUGUGUAAUGUCUCUGCCCAGAGAGGGUAUGACGAUGGUUUCAUCUGAAUAUUUUGCAAGUGUGAAACAAUAAUGUUACUAAAGUUACCCUUUGUAACACUGAUCUUGUUAUUUUAAUUUUUUUUUUUCCCCAGGAUGGACUGAAUUCAGUCAUUAAUGGAUUUCUAGGUUGAAGGAGCCUAGAGGAGAGCUGGAGAAGGGACUCUUUGUCAGGAAGUGUAGUGACAGGACAAGGGGUAAUGGUUUUAAAUUGGAAGAGGGGAGAUUUAGAUUAGAUACCAGAAAGAAAUUCUUUACUGUGAGGGUGGUGAGACCCUGGAACAGGUUGCCCAGAGAAGCUGUGGCUGCCCCAUCCCUGGAGGGGUUCAAGGCCAGGUUGGAGGGGGCUUGGAGCAACCUGGUCUGGUGGGAGGUGUCUCUGUCCAGGGCAGAGGGGUUGAACUAGAUGGUCUUUAACAUCCCUUCCAACUCAAACCAUUCUAUGAUUCUUUGAUCCAAACCACCUUGGAGGCAUCAUUGACACUUCAUCGUUGAUGCCCAAAGACGUGACCAUCUCGGGCAAGGUGGAACCAGACCCGUUGCUAUGUUGGUUCUUCCGGAC
RNAcentral lists this long non-coding RNA (1283 nucleotides) under Calidris pugnax (ruff). RNAcentral describes it as "lncRNA (ENSCPUG00000011390.1)". The record is from RNAcentral. Lineage: Eukaryota; Metazoa; Chordata; Aves; Charadriiformes; Scolopacidae.